UUUAAAUGCAACCAUAAGUUUCGGCGCCUAAUUUUGAUUGUCCGUCUUAUUUGAAAUUUUUUUAUAAUUAGUAUUUUUCGUUGUUGUGAGAUCAUAAACAUGAACAUGAAUAGUAAUUUACUCGUGACUUAAGUUUUUAAAUUUUUUCAAAUAAAACGGAUGAUCAAAAUUGGAUACGGAAAACCAUAGCUGCACUUAAA
This is a non-coding RNA of Oryza nivara, 200 nucleotides long. The record is from Rfam. NCBI's taxonomy places the organism in Eukaryota, Viridiplantae, Streptophyta, Magnoliopsida, Poales, Poaceae.